GGGUUGUGAGGUUAAGCGACUAAGCGUACACGGUGGAUGCCCUGGCAGUCAGAGGCGAUGAAGGACGUGCUAAUCUGCGAUAAGCGCCGGUAAGGUGAUAUGAACCGUUAUAACCGGCGAUUUCCGAAUGGGGAAACCCAGUGUGAUUCGUCACACUAUCAUUAACUGAAUCCAUAGGUUAAUGAGGCGAACCGGGGGAACUGAAACAUCUAAGUACCCCGAGGAAAAGAAAUCAACCGAGAUUCCCCCAGUAGCGGCGAGCGAACGGGGAGGAGCCCAGAGCCUGAAUCAGCAUGUGUGUUAGUGGAAGCGUCUGGAAAGGCGCGCGAUACAGGGUGACAGCCCCGUACACAAAAGCGCAUGUGCUGUGAGCUCGAUGAGUAGGGCGGGACACGUGGUAUCCUGUCUGAAUAUGGGGGGACCAUCCUCCAAGGCUAAAUACUCCUGACUGACCGAUAGUGAACCAGUACCGUGAGGGAAAGGCGAAAAGAACCCCGGCGAGGGGAGUGAAAAAGAACCUGAAACCGUGUACGUACAAGCAGUGGGAGCCCCACCACCAAAGCAUUCUCUGGUGUUGAAGGCCCUGCAAAGCAGCAUCGCGGUGGCGGAGCGUCGUUUGCGACGCCCAACACACAAAACAAGCUGUGAGUGCUUUGGGGUGGGGUGACUGCGUACCUUUUGUAUAAUGGGUCAGCGACUUAUAUUCUGUAGCAAGGUUAACCGUAUAGGGGAGCCGCAGGGAAACCGAGUCUUAACCGGGCGUUAAGUUGCAGGGUAUAGACCCGAAACCCGGUGAUCUAGCCAUGGGCAGGUUGAAGGUUGGGUAACACUAACUGGAGGACCGAACCGACUAAUGUUGAAAAAUUAGCGGAUGACCUGUGGCUGGGGGUGAAAGGCCAAUCAAACCGGGAGAUAGCUGGUUCUCCCCGAAAGCUAUUUAGGUAGCGCCUCGUGAAUUCAUCUCCGGGGGUAGAGCACUGUUUCGGCUAGGGGGCCAUCCCGGCUUACCAACCCGAUGCAAACUGCGAAUACCGGAGAAUGUUAUCACGGGAGACACACGGCGGGUGCUAACGUCCGUCGUGAAGAGGGAAACAACCCAGACCGCCAGCUAAGGUCCCAAAGUCAUGGUUAAGUGGGAAACGAUGUGGGAAGGCCCAGACAGCCAGGAUGUUGGCUUAGAAGCAGCCAUCAUUUAAAGAAAGCGUAAUAGCUCACUGGUCGAGUCGGCCUGCGCGGAAGAUGUAACGGGGCUAAACCAUGCACCGAAGCUGCGGCAGCGACGCUGAUGCGUUGUUGGGUAGGGGAGCGUUCUGUAAGCCUGCGAAGGUGGCCUGUGAGGGUUGCUGGAGGUAUCAGAAGUGCGAAUGCUGACAUAAGUAACGAUAAAGCGGGUGAAAAGCCCGCUCGCCGGAAGACCAAGGGUUCCUGUCCAACGUUAAUCGGGGCAGGGUGAGUCGACCCCUAAGGCGAGGCCGAAAGGCGUAGUCGAUGGGAAACGGGUUAAUAUUCCCGUACUUGGUGUUACUGCGAAGGGGGGACGGAGAAGGCUAUGUUGGCCGGGCGACGGUUGUCCCGGUUUAAGCGUGUAGGUGUGUGUUCCAGGUAAAUCCGGUUCACUUUAACACUGAGGCGUGACGACGAGGCACUACGGUGCUGAAGCAACAAAUGCCCUGCUUCCAGGAAAAGCCUCUAAGCAUCAGGUAACAUCAAAUCGUACCCCAAACCGACACAGGUGGUCAGGUAGAGAAUACCAAGGCGCUUGAGAGAACUCGGGUGAAGGAACUAGGCAAAAUGGUGCCGUAACUUCGGGAGAAGGCACGCUGACACGUAGGUGAAGUGAUUUACUCACGGAGCUGAAGUCAGUCGAAGAUACCAGCUGGCUGCAACUGUUUAUUAAAAACACAGCACUGUGCAAACACGAAAGUGGACGUAUACGGUGUGACGCCUGCCCGGUGCCGGAAGGUUAAUUGAUGGGGUCAGCGCAAGCGAAGCUCCUGAUCGAAGCCCCGGUAAACGGCGGCCGUAACUAUAACGGUCCUAAGGUAGCGAAAUUCCUUGUCGGGUAAGUUCCGACCUGCACGAAUGGCGUAAUGAUGGCCAGGCUGUCUCCACCCGAGACUCAGUGAAAUUGAACUCGCUGUGAAGAUGCAGUGUACCCGCGGCAAGACGGAAAGACCCCGUGAACCUUUACUAUAGCUUGACACUGAACAUUGAGCCUUGAUGUGUAGGAUAGGUGGGAGGCUUUGAAGUGUGGACGCCAGUCUGCAUGGAGCCGACCUUGAAAUACCACCCUUUAAUGUUUGAUGUUCUAACGUGGACCCGUUACCCGGGUUGCGGACAGUGUCUGGUGGGUAGUUUGACUGGGGCGGUCUCCUCCUAAAGAGUAACGGAGGAGCACGAAGGUUGGCUAAUCCUGGUCGGACAUCAGGAGGUUAGUGCAAUGGCAUAAGCCAGCUUGACUGCGAGCGUGACGGCGCGAGCAGGUGCGAAAGCAGGUCAUAGUGAUCCGGUGGUUCUGAAUGGAAGGGCCAUCGCUCAACGGAUAAAAGGUACUCCGGGGAUAACAGGCUGAUACCGCCCAAGAGUUCAUAUCGACGGCGGUGUUUGGCACCUCGAUGUCGGCUCAUCACAUCCUGGGGCUGAAGUAGGUCCCAAGGGUAUGGCUGUUCGCCAUUUAAAGUGGUACGCGAGCUGGGUUUAGAACGUCGUGAGACAGUUCGGUCCCUAUCUGCCGUGGGCGCUGGAGAACUGAGGGGGGCUGCUCCUAGUACGAGAGGACCGGAGUGGACGCAUCACUGGUGUUCGGGUUGUCAUGCCAAUGGCACUGCCCGGUAGCUAAAUGCGGAAGAGAUAAGUGCUGAAAGCAUCUAAGCACGAAACUUGCCCCGAGAUGAGUUCUCCCUGAGACUUAAAGUCUCCUGAAGGAACGUUGAAGACGACGACGUUGAUAGGCCGGGUGUGUAAGCGCAGCGAUGCGUUGAGCUAACCGGUACUAAUGAACCGUGAGGCUUAACCUUACAACGCCGAAG
This 3029-nucleotide ribosomal RNA is filed under the name Salmonella enterica subsp. enterica serovar Senftenberg. RNAcentral's name for it is "23S ribosomal RNA". It matches the Rfam family "Bacterial large subunit ribosomal RNA". Lineage: Bacteria; Pseudomonadati; Pseudomonadota; Gammaproteobacteria; Enterobacterales; Enterobacteriaceae. The record is from RNAcentral.